UGGGGAAUAUUGCACAAUGGGCGCAAGCCUGAUGCAGCCAUGCCGCGUGUAUGAAGAAGGCCUUCGGGUUGUAAAGUACUUUCAGCGGGGAGGAAGGGGGUAAAGUUAAUACCUUUACUCAUUGACGUUACCCGCAGAAGAAGCACCGGCUAACUCCGUGCCAGCAGCCGCGGUAAUACGGAGGGUGCAAGCGUUAAUCGGAAUUACUGGGCGUAAAGCGCACGCAGGCGGUUUGUUAAGUCAGAUGUGAAAUCCCCGGGCUCAACCUGGGAACUGCAUCUGAUACUGGCAAGCUUGAGUCUCGUAGAGGGGGGUAGAAUUCCAGGUGUAGCGGUGAAAUGCGUAGAGAUCUGGAGGAAUACCGGUGGCGAAGGCGGCCCCCUGGACAAAGACUGACGCUCAGGUGCGAAAGCGUGGGGAGCAAACAGG
RNAcentral lists this ribosomal RNA (429 nucleotides) under Chloroflexota bacterium. RNAcentral describes it as "Chloroflexi bacterium partial 16S ribosomal RNA". It matches the Rfam family "Bacterial small subunit ribosomal RNA", at positions 355 to 776 of the family's 1533-position model. The record is from RNAcentral. Lineage: Bacteria; Bacillati; Chloroflexota.